GAUCCUGGCUCAGGAUGAACGCUAGCUACAGGCUUAACACAUGCAAGUCGAGGGGAAACGACAUCGAAAGCUUGCUUUUGAUGGGCGUCGACCGGCGCACGGGUGAGUAACGCGUAUCCAACCUGCCCACCACUUGGGGGAUAACCUUGCGAAAGUAAGACUAAUACCCAAUGAUAUCUCUAGAAGACAUCUGAAAGGGAUUAAAGAUUUAUCGGUGAUGGAGUGGGGAGUGCGUCUGAUUAGU
This 244-nucleotide ribosomal RNA is filed under the name uncultured bacterium. Its description in RNAcentral is "partial 16S ribosomal RNA". It matches the Rfam family "Bacterial small subunit ribosomal RNA", at positions 15 to 245 of the family's 1533-position model. The record is from RNAcentral.